This 958-nucleotide long non-coding RNA is filed under the name Scleropages formosus (Asian bonytongue). RNAcentral's name for it is "lncRNA (ENSSFOG00015032665.1)". The record is from RNAcentral. Lineage: Eukaryota; Metazoa; Chordata; Actinopteri; Osteoglossiformes; Osteoglossidae.
CUCAUCGGCUCGCGAGGUUAGAGGCUGUCGUGCGGAAUGCGUUCGCUCGCGCAAAACAAGCAGCGCUCCGCUGUUUCCAGUAACGACACCCAAAACCCAAAGUUGUUCUGUCCCAACAAUCCUUCACCUCCCAGCGCAGAAGCGACACUAAUGUUUUUUCGGGGGUGUUUCCGCCGAGAGGCUGCGGAGGGGGGUCGUGCGACGGGUGGGAGACGAUGGAGUCGCGCAAAGAACGACGGCCAAAUGCUUCACAGUUGCUCUGCCACCUCCAGCUGCCUCUGCUGGCCUGCGAUCAGAAAGCUGUGAGAAGGCAAGACCCAUCGGCAUCUCCCAACUGGAUCACCUGUCCCCGUCCCUCAAACGUCUGACCCGAAUGACCCAAAGCGCAAGGUUUGGAAGGACGAGCUUCUGGGGACAUCAUCUGAUCGAGCUCCCGACCCACCGAGGCCGACUCUCCGUGCGUGGGCACGUGGCCAGUCCACCCCGCGUCCCUGUGAAAGUCCUCCAGCUUACCUCCUGGGCGAAGGGCCAGAGCUCCAUCCCGCUCACACGAGAAACCGCGGAGGGUCGGUGCGCUUGCUGCAGCUCAGUCCAACCGCAGAGGACCAGCACCGAGACACAAUCACGUGGACGGAGCGCCGUGACCCCCCUGGGAAAGCUCUUCGGCUUUCUCCAUCAAUUUGGAAAGCACAACGUCAACAGCGGCGCUCCCAGACUGGAGACUACAUCUCAGUGUGAGGGACUCCUGUAUGUGCGGCUGCCAGCGUCCGCUAGGGGAAGGUCCUCCGGAGCGUUUGGCCGGGUGACGAGUGAGACGGUUUCUGCGUGCCCCCGUGUGACGGACCCCCAGCGUGGGAUCGCAACCAGCCGAGGAGAUGAUGAGGAAAGCAGAUGCCUGAGGUAUGCAGCAGAUCAGUGCAGCCCCUCUCAGAUAUAGGUGGGUAGAGUUGUCCAGAAC